GCAGCAGGACGAUAGCUUGCUAUUGCCGCUGGCGACCGGCGCACGGGUGAGUAACGCGUAUCCAACCUUCCCCUUAGUAGAGGAUAGCCCGGCGAAAGUCGGAUUAAUACUCUAUGUUGUAUUUUGAGGACAUCUGACGAAUACCAAAGAUUCAUCGCUAAGGGAUGGGGAUGCGUCUGAUUAGCUUGUUGGCGGGGUAACGGCCCACCAAGGCGACGAUCAGUAGGGGUUCUGAGAGGAAGGUCCCCCACAUUGGUACUGAGACACGGACCAAACUCCUACGGGAGGCAGCAGUGAGGAAUAUUGGUCAAUGGGCGGAAGCCUGAACCAGCCAAGUAGCGUGAGGGAUGACGGCCCUACGGGUUGUAAACCUCUUUUAUGCGGGGAUAAAGUGCGCCACGCGUGGCGUUUUGCAGGUACCGCAUGAAUAAGGACCGGCUAAUUCCGUGCCAGCAGCCGCGGUAAUACGGAAGGUCCGGGCGUUAUCCGGAUUUAUUGGGUUUAAAGGGAGCGCAGGCGGAGGGUCAAGUCAGCCGUAAAAUCGUCCUGCUCAACAGGAUCCCGCGGUUGAAACUGGUCCCCUUGGGUGCACAAGAGGCACGCGGAACUCGUGGUGUAGCGGUGAAAUGCAUAGAUAUCACGAAGAACGCCGAUUGCGAAGGCAGCGUGCUGGGGUGUAACCGACGCUCA
This 690-nucleotide ribosomal RNA is filed under the name uncultured bacterium. Its description in RNAcentral is "bacterial SSU rRNA". It matches the Rfam family "Bacterial small subunit ribosomal RNA", at positions 66 to 749 of the family's 1533-position model. The record is from RNAcentral.